This 920-nucleotide ribosomal RNA is filed under the name uncultured bacterium. RNAcentral describes it as "bacterial SSU rRNA". It matches the Rfam family "Bacterial small subunit ribosomal RNA", at positions 33 to 944 of the family's 1533-position model. The record is from RNAcentral.
ACGCUGGCGGCAGGCUUAACACAUGCAAGUCGAACGGUAACAGGAGAAAGCUUGCUUUCUUGCUGACGAGUGGCGGACGGGUGAGUAAUGCUUGGGAAUCUGGCUUAUGGAGGGGGAUAACGACGGGAAACUGUCGCUAAUACCGCGUAGAGUCGAGAGACGAAAGUGCGGGACCGCAAGGCCGCAUGCCAUAGGAUGAGCCCAAGUGGGAUUAGGUAGUUGGUGGGGUAAUAGCCUACCAAGCCGACGAUCUCUAGCUGGUCUGAGAGGAUGACCAGCCACACCGGGACUGAGACACGGCCCGGACUCCUACGGGAGGCAGCAGUGGGGAAUAUUGCGCAAUGGGGGCAACCCUGACGCAGCCAUGCCGCGUGAAUGAAGAAGGCCUUCGGGUUGUAAAGUUCUUUCGGUAUUGAGGAAGGUUGUUGUGUUAAUAGCACGACAAAUUGACGUUAAAUACAGAAGAAGCACCGGCUAACUCCGUGCCAGCAGCCGCGGUAAUACGGAGGGUGCGAGCGUUAAUCGGAAUAACUGGGCGUAAAGGGCACGCAGGCGGACUUUUAAGUGAGGUGUGAAAUCCCCGGGCUUAACCUGGGAAUUGCAUUUCAGACUGGGAGUCUAGAGUACUUUAGGGAGGGGUAGAAUUCCACGUGUAGCGGUGAAAUGCGUAGAGAUGUGGAGGAAUGCCGAAGGCGAAGGCAGCCCCUUGGGAAUGUACUGACGCUCAUGUGCGAAAGCGUGGGAAGCAAACAGGAUUAGAUACCCUGGUAGUCCACGCUGUAAACGCUGUCGAUUUGGGGAUUGGGCUUUAAGCUUGGUGCCCGAAGCUAACGUGAUAAAUCGACCGCCUGGGGAGUACGGCCGCAAGGUUAAAACUCAAAUGAAUUGACGGGGGCCCGCACAAGCGGUGGAGCAUGUGG